GUCCACGCCCUAAACGAUGUCAACUGGUUGUUGGACGGCUUGCUGUUCAGUAACGAAGCUAACGCGUGAAGUUGACCGCCUGGGGAGUACGGCCGCAAGGUUGAAACUCAAAGGAAUUUACGGGGACCCGCACAAGCGGUGGAUGAUGUGGUUUAAUUCUAUGCAACGCGAAAAACCUUACCUACCCUUGACAUGUCAAGAAUCUUGCAGAGAUGUGAGAGUGCUCGAAAGAGAACUUGAACACAGGUGCUGCAUGGCCGUCGU
This 264-nucleotide ribosomal RNA is filed under the name uncultured bacterium. Its description in RNAcentral is "partial 16S ribosomal RNA". It matches the Rfam family "Bacterial small subunit ribosomal RNA", at positions 793 to 1055 of the family's 1533-position model. The record is from RNAcentral.